AUUGAACGCUGGCGGCAUGCCUUACACAUGCAAGUCGAACGGCAGCACGGGAGCUUGCUCCUGGUGGCGAGUGGCGAACGGGUGAGUAAUACAUCGGAACGUACCCUGAAGUGGGGGAUAACGUAGCGAAAGUUACGCUAAUACCGCAUAUUCUGUGAGCAGGAAAGAGGGGGAUCGCAAGACCUCUUGCUUUAGGAGCGGCCGAUGUCGGAUUAGCUAGUUGGUGAGGUAAAGGCUUACCAAGGCGACGAUCUGUAGCGGGUCUGAGAGGAUGAUCCGCCACACUGGAACUGAGACACGGUCCAGACUCCUACGGGAGGCAGCAGUGGGGAAUUUUGGACAAUGGGCGCAAGCCUGAUCCAGCCAUGCCGCGUGAGUGAAGAAGGCC
Molecule: ribosomal RNA, 388 nt
Filed under: uncultured bacterium
Lineage: Bacteria
Description: bacterial SSU rRNA
Rfam family: Bacterial small subunit ribosomal RNA
Source: RNAcentral